Molecule: long non-coding RNA, 1450 nt
Organism: Scatophagus argus
Lineage: Eukaryota; Metazoa; Chordata; Actinopteri; Scatophagidae
Exons: 4
Source: RefSeq, a predicted model, not a curated record
AGCGAAUCAGACGUGUCUCCCCGCGCUGCGCUUCGCUCUCCUUCCUGCGCCUCAAGUGACCGAAGAGGCGCAAAACCCUCAUCAAGCGCUGGCCCUUCUGUGGGCACUGAAUGGAAUAAAGAACUUUUUCUUUCCUCACAGGCAAUCCUCAAGGCGGAACGCGUGGCUUCGUGGUGGUGAAACCAAACGGUAAAGGAUUCUUGAAGCAGGAAUGAAAGAACAAGUGAGAGCACUAAGGAUUGGUGCACGGAUUUGCAAGAUCAUACGUUAUGAUCCAGUGCAUUUGACCAGCCAACAAUCUACCCCCGAUGGGAGAGACGUCGCUGCACCAAAUGUAGCUGAAGUAUCCGCCUAAAAGGGGACAAGAUGGAUCCAACCCAUAAGCAUCAUUUGACCAUGCAGGCUUAUUGAUCGUCACAGAGGUGAGCAGGAUCAGUUUCCCAUAAAGUUGGUGGCCGCGGUGACAGCAGACAGGACAAGAAGACAGGGCAUAAAGAGUACGUAUCUGGUGACUGGGGAUCGUUUCUUCUAAUAACAUCUGUUCUUACUUAAUCUCUGCUCAGGCUACAAGCUGCCUCAUCUUGCACAAAAGCAUCAGAUCCUUUUUUAGUUGGAGUGUAUCCAAAGACGAUGUGUUUCAUGCACUGCAGUUAUUCCUUUUCUGGCUGUGAAAUGAAAUUUUCUGUUGAGACAAUAAAAUCUGAGUGAAAUCAAAGGCAGAAAGUAAUCUUUUUUUCUCUCUAAAAGUAGUCUCUGUCACACUUAAGCAUCCAGCAGACUACAAGAACUCAUAUUUCACUUUAAAAGGUAAAAAAAAAAAAUAAAAAUAAAAAAAACAAAGUAUGUACAAAUGGUGAACAACGUCGUUAUCCAACAGGACCAUUAGAUCUCAGCCUGCCAUGUGGUUCAUUUUUAUAUCAGCGCUAAACAAAAAUAAUUCCAACCACCCAAUCGGAUGCAGCCUAAGUACUUCAGCAUGGCUGUGCAGAGCGAAGCAGUCAUCUUCUCCAGCGGACGGGAUGCCACGUAAGUGUUUCAGUCUGUCUUCAUAGAAGUCCAGGCCAGCUCCGCUACAGGCUCAGCCAGUACCGGGGGUUCAGUGUAAUGAAAGGCAGACUGAAAAAGGCUCUUGAUUGAUUUCCUACAUCUUGAUUUGAUAUCCUGAAUUAAUUAUUUGAACUUGAAUAAUAUAUAAAGGAAAAAUAAAUGUAGAACACUCAGGGGAAACAAGGAAAGGGCUUCAGUGCUGCUGCCGCCGUCGCUGCUGCGGCUGCUGCACAGAUACUGUAUCUUUUGGUCAAUCUUAUCCCCUGUUGCACUGGAGGGAAGUGUGUGUGGGUACAUGUAACAUGUGGUACAGCCAGCUGUGGUACGUGUGUGUGUGUGUGUGUGUGUAUGUGUGUGUUGCAGUGUCCUUUUUGUCUGUGUGUGCGGCUGGGAAAGAAAAAGG